CAUACGAUUCCAGUGGUUAAAUCCAUGUCUUCAGAAGCGAUAUGAUAAUUGUGGGUGAGAAACAGAUCAAUAUCUAACUCCUUUUUUACUAUAAAUCUCCACUUUUACUUUCACAUUCAUCUUUUGUUUUUGGUGAUUCGCAUUAUUUGUGCAUAUCGCCACCUACUGGGCAGGGAGGAGAAUUUAUAGUAUAAAAGGACUUAAAUAUUGAUCUGUUUCUCACCCACACUUAUCAUAUAACUUCUGAAGAAAUAGAUUUAACCACUGGAGUCAUAUGGGUUCCUUUAAUGCUUGCUUAAUGUGCUUUUUGGACCUACAAAGUUCUGGCCACCAUUAACUUGCAUUGUAUGGACCUACAGAGCUGAAAUACUCUUCUAAAAGUCUUCAUUUGUGUUCUGCAGAAGAAAGUAAGUCAUACACAUCUGGGAUGGAAUGAGGGUGAGUAAAUGAUGAGAGAAUGUUAAUUUUUGGGUGAACUAUCCCUUUAAGUACUGAAUUCACAUAUUGAAUGCUCAUUAAUCAGAAGUCAAGUUUUUGGUUUGAAAAAUCCAAGCAAGAUGCCCCAGGGCAGAAGUAUAAUGUUGGCCAUGCUUGCAGCAAUCAUUCUGAAAUAUGGUCUUAUAAAACGAUAUACUUCUAAAACAACAACUGGUUUCAAUUGAGAUUGAAAACACAUUGAUUUUUGCUAUGUUUAUGCCUCUCAUCCACACUGGAGCAGCAUUUUCCUCCACCGAAAAUGGAGACUUUCGAAAAAAAACUUUCUAAUAUUGCAAACUUGGGAAAUAGAAAACCAAACGUUUUCAACCAAAAAUGUAUUGUGUGGACACGGCCUAAGGUUUCGAGAGGCACGAAUACAGAUAAACAUGAAAUUUUGUGCAUCCUUGAAAACUGGCAACCUAACAAUCAUAGCCAUGACCACUCAUAUUUAGAUAUUAUGGAUGGUGCAGUCAUUCAAAUGAGCAGAUGAAGUCUGGGGUUAACCCUCCUGUGGUUAUUCGGUCAUUUUUGACCAAAAUAUAUAUUUUUUAAAUUUAAUAAAAAUGUUUUCCUUUAUCUGAGCAGUACAAGACUUGGUGACUUUUCCUCCAUUUGCCAUCUGAACAUAAAACAAAUAAAUAAAAAAAUAAAAAAAUGGGCUUCAUUGGAUAAGUUUAAGUGGUUGUAAAAAAAGCAACACCUUUGGUCUUUGCAUUCAAAAUUGACCGACCAUUGAAAAUGAAUGGGAAAGACCAAAACACAGAGCAAUUGUUUUUUUGAUUUGUCAAAUACAAUCAAUAAAUCAGCCACAAUGCAGAAAAAAACGGACAGAAAUUACAGGGUGAGACUCUAAAACAUCCUCAAUACAAAACACACACACACACGAAUGGACUGGUGAGACUUUAACACGCUUUUUUUUUUUUACAUUUGUCAAUUAAAACCAACAAAUCCACCACAAUGCUAAACAUACACACUCAAAAAUGAAGGGUUGAGACGAUAACACAAUGCAGAACACACACAGAGAACCAUGGCAUCAAUAAGUGCAGCUCUACAGCCAUCUUUUGGUCAUUGUUGGCAUUACAAAUCAUCUGUUGUUUUCCAGCUGAUGACAGCAAUCUGGCACACAACACACACACACACACACACAUUUGCAAAAUAAAUGUUAACUAUAGAAAGCUUGAAACUGCAAAAUGUUUACUCUGAUUCUUCUGAUUUAUACUCUGAAUUUUCUGAAUUUUGCAGUUCAUUUCUGUUUCAUGAAGUUAAUUUUCUUGACAUUAUUAUUAAUUUAGUUUGAUUUAUUACAUUUUUAUGUUUGAAAUAAAUUAUUGGUAGAAAAAUUCUUA
Long non-coding RNA from Myxocyprinus asiaticus (Chinese sucker), 1823 nucleotides. RefSeq lists it as uncharacterized. The record is from RefSeq and is a predicted model, not a curated record. NCBI's taxonomy places the organism in Eukaryota, Metazoa, Chordata, Actinopteri, Cypriniformes, Catostomidae. The transcript is spliced from 2 exons.